CAGCCGCCGCGGUAAUGCGUAGGGUGCAAGCGUUAAUCGGAAUUACUGGGCGUAAAGCGUGCGCAGGCGGUUAUACAAGACAGAUGUGAAAUCCCCGGGCUCAACCUGGGACCUGCAUUUGCGACUGUAUAGCUAGAGUACGGUAGAGGGGGAUGGAAUUCCGCGUGUAGCAGUGAAAUGCGUAGAUAUGCGGAGGAACACCGAUGGCGAAGGCAAUCCCCUGGACCUGUACUGACGCUCAUGCUCGAAAGCGUGGGGAGCAAACAGGAUUAGAUACCCGCGUAGUCCCUGUCUCUUAUAC
RNAcentral lists this ribosomal RNA (301 nucleotides) under uncultured bacterium. Its description in RNAcentral is "partial 16S ribosomal RNA". It matches the Rfam family "Bacterial small subunit ribosomal RNA", at positions 509 to 807 of the family's 1533-position model. The record is from RNAcentral.